GGUUUCUUAGCUCAGUUGGUAGAGCAACGGACUGAA
RNAcentral lists this small RNA (36 nucleotides) under Bombyx mori (domestic silkworm). Its description in RNAcentral is "ovarian small RNA-17595". Lineage: Eukaryota; Metazoa; Arthropoda; Insecta; Lepidoptera; Bombycidae. The record is from RNAcentral.